UUGUGCCCACCUGUACCACCUCAUACCUCAGUGAUUCCCAAGAUGCCUUCUGUGCUUUAGUGAGACCCGUCUUGUCACUGUCCCAGUGUGCACUGCACAGAAUGGACCUCGUAGUGACAACCCUGGGAGCCUACCUUGGCAGGCAGUGAGAGAGCAAGCGGCAUCUGCUGGUCCAGGGGGUCAAAGGCUUGAAGGGUCCCAAAGAGAU
Long non-coding RNA from Pan troglodytes (chimpanzee), 208 nucleotides. RefSeq lists it as uncharacterized. NCBI's taxonomy places the organism in Eukaryota, Metazoa, Chordata, Mammalia, Primates, Hominidae. The record is from RefSeq and is a predicted model, not a curated record. The transcript has 3 exons.